UUAACUCAAUUUUGUAUGGACUUGGAACAGCGCCUCUAGUGGCAAACGUAGGCAAACGUUCCGACUCCAUACAAAUUUUAAGUUA
Molecule: microRNA precursor, 85 nt
Filed under: Bombyx mori (domestic silkworm)
Lineage: Eukaryota; Metazoa; Arthropoda; Insecta; Lepidoptera; Bombycidae
Description: mir-2807 microRNA precursor family
Rfam family: mir-2807 microRNA precursor family
Source: Rfam by way of RNAcentral